This 356-nucleotide ribosomal RNA is filed under the name uncultured bacterium. Its description in RNAcentral is "partial 16S ribosomal RNA". It matches the Rfam family "Bacterial small subunit ribosomal RNA", at positions 338 to 708 of the family's 1533-position model. The record is from RNAcentral.
CCUACGGGUGGCAGCAGUGGGGAAUAUUGGGCAAUGGGCGCAAGCCUGACCCAGCAACGCCGCGUGAAGGAAGAAGGCUUUCGGGUUGUAAACUUCUUUUCUGAGGGACGAAGAAGGUGACGGUACCUCAGGAAUAAGCCACGGCUAACUACGUGCCAGCAGCCGCGGGAAUACGGAGGCGGCAAGCGUUAGCCGGAUUGAUUGGGUGUAAAGGGGGAGUAGGCGGGAAAGCAAGUCAGAUGGGAAAUCUAAGGGCUCAACCCUGAGCCUGCAUUUGAAACUGUUUGUCUUGAGUGCGGGGGAGGCAAUCGGAAUUCGGGGUGUAGCGGUGAAAUGCGUAGAUAUACGGAGGAACA